CUAUCGCCUAUAUCUCGAGGGGUGGUACCUUCUGUUUCGCUGUCUUUUUUUCUUUCUAGCAGCAGCGGCGAUGGUGGCGGGACAACUAAUCAGCUCUUCUGCAAUUUUGGAGAUACUGCAGACUAUUUCCACGCCCAAGCAAGAGUGGGUACAUCAGUGAGUUUGAAAACAGCACAAAGCAUAAAAAUUGGACAGCAGAAGAAUGCGGCGGCGGCGUCUCCAAGGACAAAUCGAUUUUUUCCACUCGCUGAGACUAGCAUCAGCGUGUUUGGCGUCCAAGGAACUGCGGCACAGCGAUUACGUGUGUGCCCAGCAAGACGGCCAAACGCAAGGACUCCCGCCAUGCAAUCAACGUGACUCACAGGAGCGCGGAUUACGUCGUCUUCCGCAACGGCCUACUUUUCGUACCACAAUCGCCAGAGUGGGUCCAUUUUGCUUAUACAUAGAAUACCGGUCGACCCACUAUAAUCAGCAAUAAACCGACCGUGACUAUACGCAAUUAACUCCGGUAAGAUGAGAUACGGAGCUUCGGUUUUAAUAAAGGGAUUACUCGCUCUCGUAGUCGUUUAGAGUCCUUGCAGUGAUGCCAUUUAAGUGUCGUUUGUUGUUCCAUUCUGCAAUUGCGUAGAGAACAGGAACAGUCACCAGCACGGGGAAGUACAGAAAGCUACAUAGAUGUACUUUUUAUAUGCCUGCCAUGCUGUGGG
Molecule: long non-coding RNA, 707 nt
Organism: Dermacentor andersoni
Lineage: Eukaryota; Metazoa; Arthropoda; Arachnida; Ixodida; Ixodidae
Source: RefSeq, a predicted model, not a curated record